GACGAACGCUGGCGGCGUGCUUAACACAUGCAAGUCGAACGGAAAGGCCCUGCUUGCAGGGUACUCGAGUGGCGAACGGGUGAGUAACACGUGGGUGAUUUGCCCUGCACUUCGGGAUAAGCCUGGGAAACUGGGUCUAAUACCGGAUAGGAGCCAUUUUUAGUGUGAUGGUUGGAAAGUUUUUUCGGUGUAGGAUGAGCUCGCGGCCUAUCAGCUUGUUGGUGGGGUAAUGGCCUACCAAGGCGGCUACGGGUAGCCGGCCUGAGAGGGUGGACGGCCACAUUGGGACUGAGAUACGGCCCAGACUCCGACGGGAGGCAGCAGUGGGGAAUAUUGCACGAUGGGCGCAAGCCUGAUGCAGCGACGCCGCGUGGGGGAUGACGGCCUUCGGGUUGUAAACUCCUUUCGCUAGGGACGAAGCUUUUUGUGACGGUACCUAGAUAAGAAGCACCGGCUAACUACGUG
This 465-nucleotide ribosomal RNA is filed under the name uncultured bacterium. RNAcentral describes it as "partial 16S ribosomal RNA". It matches the Rfam family "Bacterial small subunit ribosomal RNA", at positions 28 to 507 of the family's 1533-position model. The record is from RNAcentral.